RNAcentral lists this ribosomal RNA (436 nucleotides) under uncultured bacterium. RNAcentral describes it as "bacterial SSU rRNA". It matches the Rfam family "Bacterial small subunit ribosomal RNA", at positions 29 to 508 of the family's 1533-position model. The record is from RNAcentral.
AACGAACGCUGGCGGCAGGCCUAACACAUGCAAGUCGAGCGAACCCUUCGGGGUUAGCGGCGGACGGGUUAGUAACGCGUGGGAAUAUACCCUUUGGUACGGAAUAGCCUCGGGAAACUGAGAGUAAUACCGUAUGUGCCCUUCGGGGGAAAGAUUUAUCGCCAAAGGAUUAGCCCGCGUUGGGAUUAGAUAGUUGGUGGGGUAAUGGCCUACCAAGUCUACGAUCCAUAGCUGGUUUGAGAGGAUGAUCAGCAACACUGGGACUGAGACACGGCCCAGACUCCUACGGGAGGCAGCAGUGGGGAAUCUUAGACAAUGGGCGCAAGCCUGAUCUAGCCAUGCCGCGUGGACGACGAAGGCCUUAGGGUUGUAAAGUCCUUUCAGAUGGGAAGAGUAAUGACGGUACCAUCAGAAGAAGCCCCGGNUAACUCCGUGU